CCUUCCCCCUUCUGGGCGGGCUAGGAUCGUUGCCAAGGAAACAGGACUACCUCCAGUUUCCAGAGGCACCGCCCCUCCCUCCCAGGGAACUCACCGAUUGGUCGGUGCAGCGCGUGCUUUCACCGUCCCGCCUCCUCCCACUACACCAACUGCUAGGCGUUAAUGGUCGCCAGGGAACGCGAGGCACCUUUCUGAUUGGUUGCAGGGUGCGCAGGCCGGUUCCACCUCUUCUGUGCUUCAGAAGUGCUAGCGGGAGGAGUGGGAGGGACGUCCCUGGCGUCUCCCUUCUUGUCGAGCCUGUGCUUUCAGACAUUUUCCCGCCCUCGUUUACCCUUCAUUAGGUUUUAUCUUUCUGAAGAAUGAAAGACAAGGCAUCUGAGGAAGACACCCUUGAAUCCCCAGUCUCUUCUCUCACUCUCUUUCCCAGCACUUUCCUUCUUCCCACAGGUUCCAGGUGCCGAAGUGGCCAGUCGGGGGGGAUCCUGCCGCAGAAAGAAGACAAAGGAAAGGAGGAAACUACUUAGGAGGAAAGAUGGCAUCUUCCAUUAUCCUGAAAGGAGAUGAGAACAAGAAUUUGGAGAAUUCCAAAGGAGAAAAGGCUGGAGAGACGCGAUCUCAGUUCUCAGUAGAGGCUUACAGACAGAAUCACAGAUAGAGAUACCUUCCUACAAAUAAAGCAGGAGUCCUUUUCUGCCCUCCAGAGGAUCAGCUUCCAGCUCCAUGCCUCUCUCCCAUCCCACUGUCUGUCCUAAAACCUUCAUGAAGAAUGGCUCACAGGGUCCAGCACUAGAGGGCCCACACGGGCAGAACACCCUACAAGUGCAGUGAUUAUGGGAAGAGCUGGACCUGGGCCACCUCCUGGUCAUCCCCAAAGCACACAAAUGAGAGACAAAAGUCUCCUUCAUGAGACACUUUUCUCUGACCUCCUACCUGCUUACCCACCAGAAAAUUCCCACAGGAGAGCAGCCGUCCCCUGCAAAGUAUGUGGCGAGUCCUCCAGCCCCAGCUCUGACAUGGUCCCUGCCUGCACUCUUCAUAGCGUGGGCCACAAGCCCCACGAAUAGCAGAAGUUCGGCCAGGGCUUCAGUCUGCUCUGGCACCAGUAUUUCCAUGUGGAAAUUCAGUCUCACUCGUACCUGGCUGACUUCCAGGCAGCCUUCUCCAGCACCUAUCCUCUCUAUGCAAUGGACCUUCGAGAGGCAGCCAGCCUCUGCCGGCCACAUGCCCAUAGCAGGGAUAGGCUCUAAGCACAGGGAAGACUCUGAUGAGGGUUCCAACUUGACCAAGUGCAUGUCCUGAGUUGGGCAGCCACUUUGUCCACAGCAUCAUCCCUCAAUGUGCAGCAGCACUGGGGCAGUGUGCAGCCACAGUUCAUGGUCCAACCAACUUGGCCCACACCCAAGAGAGUCCUGACAAAGGUUCUGUGUGAGAGGGGCUUCUGUGUGAUCUGCUUCCUCCCUGCAUGCAAAGGACAAGCCCUCUAAGAGGGCUUCUGUCAGAUGCUACAAGAGAUGCCCAGGUAUAUUCAAGAAGCUUUGAGGUACCCAGAAAGAGACCAAUCAUGACACAGGCCCCUUUGGGAAGAACAAAGGAAAUGGGAGUCUUUGUGUAUGGCGAAGUCAUCAGCUGGCCUGACACAUUUGGAACAGGCCCUGACACCAACCCCUACUCUUGUAACGCUAAGAGCAGCUAGAAAAUAACAUUUUUACGUUCAGAGCAGUGGUUCUCUCAGACUUCAGCAGCCAUAAGAUUCCAUUGCUGGAGAGACAAUAGACUAGGGACAGGGCCCAGGGAGCUAGCUGCAUUUUGAAGAGAUAACUGCAUGUGAUUCUGUGGCAGAAAGGCCUUACUUUGAAAAAUAUUGGCCUAGAGCAGGUUUUAGCUUCUGAGUCAUAAACGUCUUUGCAUGCACUGUUCCUAGAAAGAUACACAUAAACAAAUAUUCCCCCCAAAUUUAGGGGUCUUUGGAGCUCAGAUCAAUACUUAUCCUUUACAUGGCUUGGACAAACUAGGAAGGGGCCAUGUGGUCAUGGCCUUGACCUCUCACUCUGGCCAUGUGGAUGGGGCUCAUGUUUUCAUUGAUGCAGACAAGCAUUUCUCCUGAUGCACCAAUGAAGCCCUAGGAAAACCCUCUUCCUGGCUUAAAUUGCUUCAAGGGCUGAGCCUCAAAAACCUGUGGUAGUGGAGAGAAAAGGGAGCCUUACCUUUAGGGGGAGUAUCCGUGCCAAGGAGUGAGGAGCCAAGAAGGGGGUGAGGCUGAGGCUUAAGCGUUCCAUGAUACUCAAAUAUUAAGUGGGGGGGAAAUUGGGUCACGAGGGCAGGAAGCAGAGGAGUUGGUUCUGGUUUGGGGGCCCUACGCAAGUCUUGAAAACUUAAGCGCACUCAGAGAAAGUAGUAAUUAUACCUUUAAUUGGCAAGCUCAGACAGGGUCCAGAUCUGGCUUUGAGGCUGACCUGAGAAGUGGUAUUGCAGGCUGAGUUUCCCCCAGGCAGUGCUGAGGGGCAGGGGAAGGAUGGGUUGGACACUGGCUUCUCUAGGGGAAUAAAAGCUGGUACAAAGGUAGCUACUACUGCCAAGGUGCCUCUCCUCACUUCCAAGGUGCCUCUCCUUAACUCCCACAUUCCCCCUGUGACAGGUGGCAUAUGAGCCAAUCCUCCUGGUGAAGUUUAGUCUAAGAGAGAUCUUGGUGGGGUCAGAUUGGAAGAUUAGGUUGGAAUCAAGUCAGUCCAUCACUUUACCUUAAGUGUCUUUUCCCCAAGUUUUGUACCUCUUCCUAUAGAAGUUUCUUUAGGUUGACAAAUCUGGUUUCUUCCUAAGGCCAGACACAGGCUGAGUUCUCAGAAGGGAAGUGCACACAGGCCACCGAGGACAUAAGUCUUUGCUACUUCUACUUGAGGGGAAGGGUCAUCCUAACCAGAGGCAAGAAAGGGUCUGCACAUGGCUGGCUGCUUCCAUCACCUGGACAAGGCUGGACUCUGAGCACAAAGGAAUGAGUGGUAGAUGGAUGAUGGAGUCACAGGGUGAUGGGGGAGGGAUUCUGUGCAGAGCUUGGGAAUAUAGAAUAGUACAGUUCCCUCUGGCCACUAACCCCAAAUGUUCCAGGCCUUGUCCCCCUUUGCUGGUGAUGGAGGUCCUGAAGAGAGUGAAGAUGCGAGCUUUGCUUUUGUUGGCCCUGGAACUCUCAUCUAAGGCUGCUUUCUCCCUUGCCUUGUUGGCUAUGUGGCUGUUUUGUCACUCAUCUUGUACCUGGGCUUCACUAACACUGGGCUGCUCUGUCCCUAGUAUAGGUCAGUGCCUGGGUGUCAUCUCAGAGAGGGGGGAGAUGCUUCCAGAACCCUGGCUGAGACACUGACAAGGAACUCAGGAGUGGUAUGGUAAAGACAGCAGGAAACAAAGAAUCCUAGCAUCUCACUCUGUGUGUGACCUUGGACAGGUUGCUCAGCUUUCCCCAGUCUCAGUGUCCCCAAAUGCAAAAAGAUGGAAAAGCUAAGAUCUCUUCCAGUUCAAAAAUGUGAUGAGGCCCUCCUGGCUGGGCCUAGAAUAGCAAAGCCUGAGCCAUAGGGCUCUCCGAGGGAGGCCCAAGGAGUACUAGAGGGGUCUCUCAGGCCCCUGCCCUUCAAAAACAGGAAGUGCAGGUCAGCUGAGUGGUGCUGAGGUGGAGACACCACUCCAUUUGGGGCAAAACAUUCAGUCUUGACUGCCUCUUCCUGAUGGGCUGUCCUCUCCAAGCAAGAUGCUUCCUUCCAUAUGCAAUUAUGAGGGAGAAAUGAGUUGAUGGACAAGACAGUACUUUGUAAACCAUAAAAUGCAAUACGAGCCAAGAUCUAACAUAAAGCCUCCUUUUACUUCUCUCCUGCCACCCUUUUACAAAUAUGCUCUCUACCUGAAUCCCUGAUUCAAGAACAAUUGAAUGCUGUAGACUACAGUUUGCAAACUCAAAUGACUACAGGAACCCAACAGGUCAUGGAAAUGAGUAGCAAAAUGCCAGAUGGAGAGGGCCUGCUUUGCCAGAGAUGUUGGCGAGCCAUGAUGAGUGCCAGCUGACACUGGUCAGGAGGUGACAAGGAGUGGCAGGCAUGCUGAACUGGAGAGCCUGGUCUCCAUCCAAAGGGGCAACUGCCCCUCAGCUCCCACCAAUUGUGGUUUUGUGGGAGCUCAGGUGGAGUUGCCAAAUCUUCGGAUUUUUCAGGAGAGGCCAGAAACCUGGUUUUCUGUGUGAAAUAUCCUGAUUUUUAAAUCUUAACCAAUAACUCAUAACAUUUAAAAAUGCUGGCUGGGCUAAAAAAAAAAAAAAAUUAAA
Orcinus orca (killer whale) is the source of this 4300-nucleotide long non-coding RNA. RefSeq lists it as uncharacterized. NCBI's taxonomy places the organism in Eukaryota, Metazoa, Chordata, Mammalia, Artiodactyla, Delphinidae. The record is from RefSeq and is a predicted model, not a curated record. The transcript has 2 exons.